RNAcentral lists this ribosomal RNA (370 nucleotides) under uncultured organism. RNAcentral describes it as "bacterial SSU rRNA". It matches the Rfam family "Bacterial small subunit ribosomal RNA", at positions 526 to 896 of the family's 1533-position model. The record is from RNAcentral.
CGAAGGGGGCUAGCGUUGUUCGGAAUUACUGGGCGUAAAGCGCACGCAGGCGGUUCGAUUAGUCAGAAGUGAAAGCCCCGGGCUCAACCUGGGAACUGCUUUUGAUACUGUCGAGCUUGAAUCACGGAGAGGGUAGUGGAAUUCCGAGUGUAGAGGUGAAAUUCGUAGAUAUUCGGAAGAACACCAGUGGCGAAGGCGACUACCUGGCCGUCGAUUGACGCUCAUGUGCGAAAGCGUGGGGAGCAAACAGGAUUAGAUACCCUGGUAGUCCACGCCGUAAACGAUGGGUGCUAGUUGUUGGAGUACAUGUACCUCAGUGACGCAGCUAACGCGUUAAGCACCCCACCUGGGGAGUACGGCCGCAAGGUUA